UACGUAGGUGGCAAGCGUUGUCCGGAAUUAUUGGACGUAAAGCGCGCGCAGGUGGUUUCUUAAGUCUGAUGUGAAAGCCCACGGCUCAACCGUGGAGGGUCAUUGGAAACUGGGGAACUUGAGUGCAGGAGAGAAGAGUGGAAUUCCACGUGUAGCGGUGAAAUGCGUAGAGAUGUGGAGGAACACCAGUGGCGAAGGCGACUCUUUGGCCUGUAACUGACACUGAGGCGCGAAAGCGUGGGGAGCAAACAGG
RNAcentral lists this ribosomal RNA (253 nucleotides) under uncultured bacterium. RNAcentral's name for it is "partial 16S ribosomal RNA". It matches the Rfam family "Bacterial small subunit ribosomal RNA", at positions 524 to 776 of the family's 1533-position model. The record is from RNAcentral.